CGAACGCGAAAGUUCCCUUCGGGGAACAAGUAGAGUGGCGCACGGGUGAGUAACACGUAGGUAAUCUACCUUUGGAUUGGGAAUAACCACCGGAAACGGUGGCUAAUACCGAAUAAUGCAGCGGCACCUAAUGGUGACAGUUGUUAAAGCGGGGGAUCGCAAGACCUCGCGUCUGAAGAGGAGCCUGCGGCAGAUUAGCUAGUUGGUAAGGUAACGGCUUACCAAGGCGAUGAUCUGUAGCCGGCCUGAGAGGGCGGUCGGCCACACUGACACUGACAUACGGGUCAGACUCCUACGGGAGGCAGCAGUCGGGAAUUUUGGGCAAUGGGCGAAAGCCUGACCCAGCAACGCCGCGUGAAGGAUGAAAUCCCUCGGGAUGUAAACUUCGCAAGAACGGGAAGAAUAAGCCGGUGCUAACACCAUCGGCGAUGACGGUACUGUUUGUAAGCUCCGGCUAACUCCGUGCCAGCAGCCGCGGUAAUACGGGGGGAGCAAGCGUUGUUCGGAUUUACUGGGCGUAAAGGGCGCGUAGGCGGCCACCGCAAGUCGACUGUGAAAUCUCCGGGCUU
This 569-nucleotide ribosomal RNA is filed under the name uncultured soil bacterium. RNAcentral describes it as "bacterial SSU rRNA". It matches the Rfam family "Bacterial small subunit ribosomal RNA", at positions 63 to 610 of the family's 1533-position model. The record is from RNAcentral.